This 236-nucleotide unclassified non-coding RNA is filed under the name Hevea brasiliensis (rubber tree). Lineage: Eukaryota; Viridiplantae; Streptophyta; Magnoliopsida; Malpighiales; Euphorbiaceae. The record is from RNAcentral.
AAGAAGUGCUAGAGAAAGCUCUGCUUAUGGUUCAAAUUUCUCAGAAGAACUACCUUUAUAAAUGUGAUCAAUUGAAGUCUAUUCGCCAAGAUCUAACCGUACAACGAAUAAAAAAUCAGCUAACAGUUAAGGUGUAUGAAACUCAUGCUCGGUUAGCAAUGGAAGUAGGGGACUUGCCUGAGUGUAAUCAGUGCCAAUCACAGUUAAAAACCCUGUAUGAUGAAGGAAUCGAAGGA